RNAcentral lists this long non-coding RNA (33461 nucleotides) under Malus domestica (apple). RNAcentral's name for it is "long non-coding RNA (MDOM_LNC001224)". Lineage: Eukaryota; Viridiplantae; Streptophyta; Magnoliopsida; Rosales; Rosaceae. The record is from RNAcentral.
GCCUCCACUUAUAUAAUAUAUUGUACUACCCAAAUUCUGAAUAAGUAAAAGAUCUCUCCGAAAAAUACAUAUGCAUGUUUUAUUCAAAAGGUAAGGAAUGAUGCGUCAUCAUCCCUAAUACACUUUAUUAUAGUAGUAGCAUCAAUUGAGGCAGAGAAGUUAAUUAGAUGCUGUCCUUAAUGGAUGCACUAUAACCGUUGUCAUAGAACCUGUUCCAAAGCAUAACUCCUCCGUACUUGGGCGAAUUCUUAAUCGUUGGAAGAACUUGUGACUUGAGAGCGUCAGCAGGAAUAAAUCCGCCGCUCGGAGCGGCCUCAGGAGCUGCCGGUAACCCCAUGAACACCUGGGUGGCCGGAACCGAGGCCCAUUGGUUCCAACUGCUCAAAAGAGCGUCGGCAUUACCGUCCGCAUACUGGCAUUGGGGGUUGUUGUAGAACUGGACCCAAACGUAGUCAAAUAAACCGGUUUGGAUAGCGCCGUCUAGGUGAGCAUCCGGGAUCGGACAUUGUGGAGCUGCGGCUAAAUAGACCGUUUUUGCCUGUCCGUUGUGUCCGUUGAGUGACUUGGCGAGCUCAUCAUAGAACUGCGCACCACCCGCCUCAAUGUCGAAAUCAACGCCGUCCAAAACCGCGUCCCCAAGCGGGCGCGAAGCUGACUGACCACCUAAGAAGUUGUUCCAGAUGUAAUCAGCAACUUGCCUUGCAUCAUCAGCUGAAGUGAGAGAGUAACUUCCGGCGGCCCCUCCAAUCGAGAGGAGGACUUUUAUGUUUUUUGAUUGGCAGGUUCUGAUGUCGGCACUCAGCCCGGUGCAAGUACCACUAGCGGGGUCGCAGUGGCCGGCGAGGUUUAGGACAGGGGUUUGGUUGUUUCCGAAAGUAGUGAGGAAAGCUAUGUUAACAAACUGGUAGUUGCCUGAGUUGCAAGCAUCUGCUAGGGUUCCUUCGUUUCCGUUUUGGCCCCAAUAGACCGCAAUUCCGGCGGCUUGGGAGGACUUGCAUGAAGAAAUGAGGAUCAAGAGGGACAGCGUUAGGGCUAGGGUUUGUGUUUUGGAUGCCAUUUUUAUAUGUUUUUUUGGGUUGUUGUUCAAAGUGCUUGGGAGUGGACAUGUACUUAUAGGUGCAGGGGACUUAUCGGUUAAGGUUUAGGGGAAGAAAAGUAUGACAGACGUGUUCUGCAGGUAAGAGUCUUCUGCUUGCAACCGCGUCAAUCACGUUAGGGCCUGUUUAUUUAGUCCAAGUUUCACUUUACAACUUAGAACACGUCAAUUAAAUUAGGUCGGGUUGAAAAUGCAUUUUCCAAAACCACUUUCACACAUAAGCGCUUCUUAUAUUUUCAUAAAAAUGCAAGUGGUUUUAUAAAAAAAAAAACUUGAGGUGUUUGGCGUGUGUUUUUUCAGAAAGCACUUAAAAUAUUUUUUCAACCUAAAAUCACUGAAUUUUUUAUGAUUUCAAAGUUCUUUUAAUUGUUUUGAAGGCACUUCCAACUGAUAUUUUAUAAAAAAUUACUUCUAGAGAGAAUUAUAGCAUGCUAAUUGAGAGAUUCCGAAACUAAAAAGCCAUCAAAUUUGCCAAAAAAAAAAUCUGAUGAGACAAUACGUGGAGAAUCAACACAGCUGUAUCAUCACCAAAAAUUUUCAGUGUGCAGAAAUACAGUCCGGUACAAAGUGUUAUAAUAAAAUUGGUUGAUUUUUUUUUUUAAGUUUCCAACUAAUUAUAUUAUUACACUUGAUGUACCGAUCCGUAUUUCUGAAAAAUCUCUCCUUACCAUCACAUCACAUGAAUGUUUUGGAAAGUUCGUAGAUAGAAACCAAAAUCUCUCCUUAUCAUCACAUCACAUCACAUGAACGUUUGGGAAGCUCGUCGAUAGAAACCAAAUGGAAUAUGCUUUUAGCUGAGGAUGGCCAUUGGCCAGGGACUUCGGUCUAAUCACGAUGCUUUAAUUUCGCAGUCGGAAAAAAACUUUCGAAUAAAAUUUAGGGUAUAUUUAGGAAGUGUUUUUAAAUGAUUGAAAACAUUUUUAGAAAUAUUUUUUUUUAAAAACGUUUCCAGUCAUUUAAAAAAACUUCUUAAACGAGUUUAAUUACUUGUGUAUGGGGCAACAUUUAGCUAGUAAUGGUUCUCAUGAAUUGGAUUGUGGUGAUGUGAAAAUGGGUUUGGGUUAGUUUAGUUUAGAGUUUAUAUUUACUAUCCGGUGCAUGCAAAUGGAAUGUCAAAUCUUUCAGAGAAAUUUUGAUAGAACUGCCACUUAGGGCAACACAUAUUAAACAAACAAAUGUAGGGUUGGAGAAGACUAAAAUACAUGAAUUCUCGUGUUUUCAUAAAUGUGAUCUAAAAAUAAUAUAGCAUGUGCCCUGAGAACAACGUGAUCAGUACCUAAUCGAAGUUCUCUAGUGUGGAAAGAUUCAAGAGGGGUGUGACGCUUCCGACAAAUAAAAAAUCACACAUUUUCGAAUUCGGAAAUGUAUAGAACAGAGCAGAUAUCACUAGAUGAAUGUUAACUGUUUUACAGAAAAUUUAUAAGACAAUUAGAGUUAAACAACAGAAGCUUGCACUUUAAAUGGUUAUGUCCAGCUGCUUUUGGUAUGUAUAUGCUUUUUCCAUGUCUCGAUGUAGUUCCAGUUCACUGCUCAUCAUCCUGGAACAAUGCUUUCGAAACAGAGCCGCACGGCUGGCUACUGUAUUCUCGGUAAUCUUCAUCGUCAUCACAGCUGCGUUGCGAGCAUGAACGUUUGAUUCCUGUCAUUGGGGUUUCACAGACUCUGUCAUCGCAUGAACCUCUAUGAUCCUUCCUUUUAAACAGCUUUCGAAGCGGAUUUGACUUUGGUUUCAAUGGUUUCAGCCGUUUGGGGGCCCAAACUCUCUGCAGAUCGGGCAUCCAUCUUGUGGAUGAAGCGAAUCUCCAAGCCCUCUCUCUCCUCUCUUGAGCUUCAAGUAACUUGCGAGCAUGGUCGUCCUAUUGUUUGAUCUCUUCGACGCUUGGUCUUCCAAUAUCAGUUUUCAGCGGACGAAGAGACUCACCUUCUGCUUGUAAUGAGUCCCAGAUUCUAUAACUUCCAUCCACUUCGACACUCUUCGGUUUUUCUUUACAGGAUCGAUUGCUAUCCUCACUGUUGAGUAAACUAUUAGGGAGUUCUUCCUCAUCAGCAAACAGUAACAAAUCCAUUUUCGUAUAGAUUUUGUGAACCACAUCUUCAAGUGUCUCACAGUACCUGAAAAAUGUCCAAAUUCAGGCUCUUGACAAUUUGACAAAGCAUUUCAUUGAAAAGGUUCAAUCCUUACUACCAUUAUAAUUUAUAAUGUGUUGUAUGGUUUACCUCGUAAUGGUGCUAAGUUAUUUCUACAGUUUUGGGGCAUUUUUUUUGCAGUUUCGGUGCAAUUUUGAUGCAGUUCUUUUUUUUUGCAAUUUUGCUGCAUUGUUGUUGCUGUUUUUGCUGCAUGUUCAUUGAUUAAUAAAAAGGUCGUACCCAGUGCACAAGGCUCCCUUGAUUAAUAUAUGAGAAAAAUAAGACUGUCAUAUGCUUAAAUAGGUGUAUAUUUUAAAUUAUACAUUUUUUUUUCAAAAAUCGAACCGAAACUGUUUGAAACCGUACCGCACCAAACCAAACGGUUUGGUUUCAUUUCAGUUUUGGCUUCAAAACUGCACCGAACCGCACCGCAAAAAAAUUUGGUUUCGGUUGCGGUUUCACUCGAAACCGCACCGAAGCGCACCGCGCCCACCCCUACAGGGGACUUGUCGAUGAAGGUUUAGGGGAAGAGAAGUAUGACAGACGUGUCUUGCGGGUACAAAAUGGGUGCCAGUCUUCUGCAUGCAUGGAACCGCGUGAACCAAGUUAGGGCCUGUUUAGUCCAAGUUUCACUUGACAACUUAGAAAUUUGUCAAUUAAGUUAGGUCGUGUUGGAAAUUCUUUUUUCAAAAACCACUCAUAAGUGCUUUUAAUAUUUUUCGUAAGAAUGCAAGCGUUUUUAGAAAACACACUCAAGGUGCUUAGCGUGUGCUUUUUUUUAGAAAGCACUUUUAAGUGUUUUUUCAACCUAAAAACACUUGUUUUAAAGACACUUCCAACAAACACAUAAUUAAUGGAAAAUUACUUCCAGAGAGAAAUAUAGCAUGCUAUUUGAGAGAUUCCAAAACUAAAAGCUAAAUAGUUAUUAAGCGUGACCUUAACCAAGGUGAAAUAAAAUAUCAAAUUUGACAAACAAUCUGAUGAACGUCAUAGCUAUAUGUAUAGUCAGUAGAUGAGAUAAUCAUGAAACAAAACGUGGAGAAUCAACACAGCCUUAUCAUGGCCAAAAUUUGUCUGUGUGCCAGAACCACGGCCUAGUACACUAAAAGUGUCAUAAUAGAAUUGGUUGGAAAUUCAUUCGGUUACAACUGACUCUGAAGUCUUUAUUUCUGCACAACCACAUAGUGAGAUGUUUGCUUACCAUGCAACCAUGAUGUCCAAUACUCUUGGUACCUCAAUCGUUGUCUUUACCAAAACUGGUUUUAUGGCUAUUCUAUUGAGCCAUUACCGACCUACCGGGAUCAUAUUUGCCUUCACGAAUGAGUGAGUUUUCAAUUUACCUGUCACAAAGGCAUUUAGUUAAAAUUUGUAACUGUAUCAGUCAAAAUAUGCUGUGAAAGUUCUAUUCAUUAGCAAGUACUUUGAUUGCCAUGCAGUAAGAGCAUACAACGGAGAUUGGCUUUGUAUCAAGGCGUAUGUCCAAUAUAUACAUGGAGUUCACAGAAGAUUCUGAAACAAGCUUUAGCAAUGCCUUGACUGUGCUGAAGGUGAUGUUUUGCUGCAGAUUUCCUAAAUUUAUGGCGACGUAUGCUAUUCAACCAUGCCAGCACUGAUGGUUCAUUUUCUGUUGUUCUGUUUGCAGGAGCAAGGAUUGGUAAAGGCAGGAGAAGAGGUCGCACUCGUUCAAAGUGGCAGGCAACCCAUUUGGCGGCUCCAAUCCACUCACAAAAUUCAAGUGCGCAAAAUUUAGGUGCAACGGAGAUGGAAUAAUCGCCCUCGUAACAUAGAUUUCUUCGUCUACACUACAAAAGUUUCAAAUGAUAGCUUUUGUGUUGUACUUCCAGCGGAAUUGUCGUGAUACUUUCUUCCUUUGGUUGUUUUUUUUCUUCUGUUGCACACUUUUGUGAUCCUAUCAAUGUGCUUCUUUUUGUUUCCGAUUUCCCCCUAGUUAAUUUUGGCGUAUGUUUUAGAACUGUAAGUUGUUAAAGUAUAAAUUUGGCAGUUUGAAUGCAAACUGUCUAAAUUUUUUUAAUAGUUCGAUUGAGGAAACAGAUCGUCACACUCACAUUCUAAUAUCCGCCGCUUACCGUUUGUCGUGUGGCCGUUUAACACUGACUAAGGUAGAUCUCACAUCAGAUCAGCACGGGACUAGGUUCCGUGCUCUUGUGAAAGUUAUUCUACGUACGACGUGAUUCUACACAUGGUUUGUGGUUUGGGCUUGAACCGGUCUCUACGAAAUGAGGCAGAUUUUUUGUUUAUUAACAAAGGUCAAAAGUCAAACAAAAAUUGUUGAUACAGACUAUCUUAAACAAAAUUAAACAACAUUCGCUUGAAUAAUUAUCAAAUUGACAAUGUCUCAUAGGUGAUGCUGUCCAUACACUCUUUUUAUUUUUCACUCACUCCUCCCAAUUUUUAACCGUCAGAUCGAAUAAAUUAAAGAUGAUCAAAAGACAAAAAUUAACUGAAGAUAUGUGAAAGAAAAAACAAAAUGUAUAUAUAGCAUCACCUAUCUUAUUAGGAUAAUGACAUCCGAUUUAUUUGAUAUAAUCUUUUAGGGAAACCAAAACGUUGAGUUACAAAAGUCAAACUCUUCCGAUGAUGGAAUAACUAUAUCCAUUUUUAUCAUCACAAAACUCGGACCCUAACAUCACACCACCAUACUUCGACGACUUCUUUAUCACCAGUAGAAUUUCCGAAUUCAGCAAAGCAGCCACAAUAUACCCACUUCUGGCCACCUCAGGAGUGGCCGGCAACCCCAAAAACAUCUUCCCUUUCUAAUACAUUAAUGAUGUCAGUUGGCGUCUUAACAAGAUGGGAGACUUUGGAGUCGCUUUAUUGGGAUCUCCCGAGUACUCGGUACUCUAUGUAUUUUAACCGUUAAAUCUUUGUUUAAAAAUAUAAAAAUCAAAUUCUAACAGUUAAAAUAUUCAAAAUAUCCAUAGUACCGCUCGAAAUUUUUUGAGACAUUAAAUGCAAUCCCUCCAAGAAAUCAUCUCAAAUUUUUUUGAGACAUUAAAUGCGAUCUCUCCAAGAAAUUAUUAGAUUAUACCGUAGUACCAUCUCAGCCGUGGUAGUUUCAUCCAAAGGCUAGCCUUUACAAUAUGAGCUAGCCAGCCUUCAUGCACACAGUGCCUGCCAAUCAUGUAAAACCAUUGACAAUGAUACAUGACAAUUUAUUUGGACCUAUAACUUCAUUUCAUAACUACAUCAGAUAACCGUUUAUGUGCAACUAUAUUUUAUUCAAUUUCAAAAAUUAGCAUAUGCAAUGACAUGUUUUAUCGUAAAAAGUACAAGAAAUUUUCAACGUAUCACAAAUACAAAGUGUUAUACCACAUGUCAUUAUAUAAAGAGAAAUUUUUUAUAUUUUAAGUCUGUCUCCACUUAUAUAAUAUGUGUUGUACCAUCCGAAUUCCGGAUCAGUAAAAGAUCUCUCCAAAAAUACAUAUGCAUGUUUUAUUCAAAAGGUUAGGAAUGAUGCGUCAUCAUCCCUAACGCACUUUAUUAUAAGUAGUAUCAUCCAUUGAGGCAGAGAAGUUAAUUAGAUGCUGUCCUUAAUGGAUGCACUAUAGCCGUUGACAAUGUCAUACUGCCUGCCCCAGAGCAUAAUUCCUCCGUACUUGGGCGAUUUCUUAAUCGUUGGAAGAACUUGUGACUUGAGAGCGUCAGCAGGAAUAAAUCCGCCGCCCGGAGCGGCCUCAGGAGCUGCCGGUAUACCCAAGAACACCUGGGUGGCCGGAACCGAGGCCCAUUGGUUCCAACUGCUCAAAAGAGCGUCGGCAUUACCGUCUGCAUACUGGCAUGGGGGGUUGUUGUAGAACUGAACCCAAACGUAGUCAAAUAAACCGGUUUGGAUAGCGCCGUCUAGGUGAGCAUCCGGGAUCGGACAUUGUGGAGCUGCGGCUAAAUAGACCGUUUUUGCCUGUCCGUUGUGUCCGUUGAGUGACCUGGCGAGCUCAUCAUAGAACUGCGCACCACCCGCCUCAAUGUCGAAAUCAACGCCGUCCAAAACCGCGUCCCCAAGCGGGCGCGAAGCGGACUGACCACCUAAGAAGUUGUUCCAGAUGUAAUCAGCAACUUGCCUUGCAUCAUCAGCUGAAGUGAGAGAGUAACUUCCGGCGGCCCCUCCAAUCGAGAGGAGGACUUUUAUGUUUUUUGAUUGGCAGGUUCUGAUGUCGGCACUCAGCCCCGUGCAAGUACCACUAGAGGGGUCGCAGUGGCCGGCGAGGUUUAGGACAGGGGUUUGGUUGUUUCCGAAAGUAGUGAGGAAAGCUAUGUUAACAAACUGGUAGUUGCCUGAGUUGCAAGCAUCUGCUAGGGUUCCUUCAUUGCCGUUUUGGCCCCAAUACGUCGCGAUUCCGGCGGCUUGGGAGGACUUGCAUGAAGAAAUGAGGAUCAAGAGGGACAGCGUUAGGGCUAGGGUUUGUGUUUUGGAUGCCAUUUUUGUAUGUUUUUUUGGGUUGUUGUUCAAAGUGCUUGGGAGUGGACUUGUACUUAUAGGUGCAGGGGACUUAUCCGUUAAGGUUUAGGGGAAGAAAAGUAUGACAGACGUGUUCUGCGGGUUAGAAAUGGGUGCCAGUCUUCAGCUUGGAACCUCGUCAAUCAAGUUAGCUAGGGCCUGUUUAGUCCAAGAAGUUUCACAUAAAACGCCGAUUAAGUUAGGUCGGGUUGGAAAUGCUUUCUUCAAAAACUACUUACACACGUAAGCGCUUCUUAUAUUUUUCAUAAGAAUGCAAGUGCUUUUGAAAAAAAACACUUGAGCUGUUUCGUGUGUUUUUUUCAGAAAAUACUUUAAAUGUUUUUUCAAACUAAAAAUCCAUUAAAGCUCCUUUACUUGUUUAAGGGCACUUCCAAAAUCAUAUUUAAAGAAAAAUUACUUCUAGAGAGAAUUAUAACAUGCUAAUUGAGAGAUCCCGAAACUAGAAACUAGAUAGUUAUAAUGAAGCGUGACCUUAACUGCUUAAUUAAGUGAAAAAAGCCAUCAAAUUUGACAAAAAGUCUGAUGAAAGGUCAUAGCUGUAUCAUCUGUAGAUGAGAUAAUCAUGAAACAAUGUGGGGAAUCAACACAUCCUUAUCAUCGUCAAAAAAAAAAAUUCACUGUGCUGGAAGCACGUUCAAUUGAACGUUUUGGAAGUUUGUGGAUAGAAACCAAAUGGAAUAUGCUUGUAACCAAAAUUGCUGGCUGCUAUAUACAUCUUGGAUUUUAGCUGAGGUGGCCAUUGGCCAAGGACUUUGGUCUAAUCACGAUGCUUUAAUUUCGCAAUCCAAAAAAAAAAUUCAGAUAAAAUUUAGAACACGUUUUGGGAGUGCUUUCAAAUUACUGAAAGCGAUUUUAGAAAGAAAAAAAAUGUUUAUAUAACUAAUCUUUAAUAAAAAUGCAAGUUAAUCCUCCAAAAGUACUGAAACUAGUGCUUCUUUGAUAAAACACUUCAAGUGCUUUUGGAGCUCAAAAAUAUUAUCUCAAGUGGUUUCAGUCAUUUAAAAACACUUUCUAAACGAGUUAAUGACUCGUGUAUGGGGCAACAUUUAGCAAGUAACGGCUCUCAUGAAUUGGAUUGUGGUGAUGUGAAAAUGGGUUUGGGUAAGUUUAGUUUAGACCAGUCAGCAGUGUUUAAAAUAUCCACGACAUUAUCGAUAUUUUCGUUGAAAUAUCCUUAAAAUUAAGGGUCCAUAAGCAAAAGAAGGAUGAAAUGCAAACUUCACCCUAUAUCGGCAAGAUACAAGAAAACAAUGAAUAUAGACAAUAUGUAACAACUCGUCCCAAGAUUUACUGUAUAUAAAUGGUAUUUUUGUAUUUUCAUCAAGUUUGGGAAUUUAUCUUCCUUUUAAAAUUUGUUUUUGGUCUUAAAUGGUGAUCCAAGGGGACCCACUCCCCUGAUUUUGUCCCCGAGCCCUCUUCUCUCUUUCUUCCUCUCCUCUUCCCUUUCCCCUUUCCCGUAUACUUCUAUUCCUCUCUUCUCUAUGAUCACACUCACACCCAGCUGCACUCCCUGCUCGAGGAAGACGCAAUCACCAUCUAAACCACGUCCCUUUCCUCUUCCUCUUGCCUCUGUGCAACUCGGCGAAACCAAGAAAAUAACCUCCGGCAAGUCCGACGGCUUUCGAAGCCAUUUCCUGCCAAACCACGGCGCGUUGGCCGGCGUGCAAGGUAUCAAUCUCUUCGUCCCGUCAAGUACUAUAACUUUUCUUUUUGUUUCACUCAAUUUAAUUGAGUAUUGAAGAAGUUAUACUCAUUUGAAUCUUACCCAGUUUCCGGCGACCUCCGAGGCUUUCGAGGAAAUUUCAGGCCAAACCAUGGCGAGUCAGACGUGAGGUAUCAUUCUCUUCGUCUCUUCCAGGACUACAACUUUCGUUUUUGUCUCGCUUGAUUUCGUUGAGUAGUGACAAAGUUAUGGCUGUUUAAAGUGGGGUGGUUUUCCGGCCGAAUUUCCGGCCUUCUUCUUCCUUGGCAACAGGCCACCCGGCCUUUCCCUCUCCCUCGGACCUUAGGCCCGUGUUGUCUUAAGCCCAAAACCCUAGCCUUUAGUUUUAAGUUUUAUUAUUUGGUUUUAAAACCCUAAAAAGGGCCUUGGGCCGGUGGUUUUUAAAAAGGGCUUAAAGCCCUGUUUUUCUUUAUUUAUUUUUAUUAAGGCCUUAAGGCCUUGUGAUUUUGUGCCCGUGGGUGUGUGUGUUAGGUGUGUAUGUGUUUAUGCAUGCACAUGCAUGCCGUGUGUGUGUGUGUAUUUGUAGUAUGUGUGUGUUUGGGCUAAAGCCCAAACCCCAAUUCUCACCCUAAAACCAUUUUAACCCAAAAUCCUAGGUUCCUAAAAUCCUUUAAAACCCUAAACCCAUCCAAUCCCAAAUCCCCUAUUUUAUUUAAACCUAAACCCUAAUCCGGAUUUCAAGCCUAAAACCCAUUUGACCGUUGACCCCCGGUCAACGUUGAUUUUAGGGUUGACUUUUCGGGUUUUCGUCCGGGACCCUUCUUAGGGUAAUUCGACGUUCUAAAUCCGUUUCCAAUGUCCAUUUUCCCAAAUUCAAUUGUUAUUAUAUAGUUUUAUUUAUUGGACUCUUUAUGUGCUUAGGGGCAAUUAUUGUGACGUUUCCAUCUUCGCUAGUGGCACAGCUUUUGGCAACUAAGUAUUGUGAGUGGACCCCUUCUAGAAUUACAUGAUUUGAUAAUUUAAUUGCAUAAAUGAUUAGCAUGCCUACGAAUUUAUGAUUUGAUUUAUGUGAAGCCUGAUGAUUUAAUAUAUUGAUUAUCGUCUCGGGUUUUGGUGAGGAAUUAUUUGUUAGCCUAUAUUGAGCUAUAUUUUAAUAUAUCGUAUUUUCUAUUAAAACCAUGAACUGGUAGACUAUCUGAUAGAUGACGAUAGGAUGCUAGAACAUGUUUUUGAACCCCUCUUUAUAGUGUAGACGAUGAUCGGUAACCUAUGCUAUGAAGUGGUUUUUUUUAGAGAGACGUAACUAUUUGUGCGUACCUAGUAGACACUAUGCCGCCUGGGGCAAGGAACUGGUGUUGGCAUUUAGGCCGGGAGAAAUAAUCCCUAGCGAAAGGCUGAGGGACACGGAGACAGGCAGUGGGCCAAGAGGGAGUUAUCUCUGGCUACGGGCACAGAGACUGAGGUGCAAGCAUUGGGCCGGGAGUUAUAUUUAUUCAGUGAUCUUUCUAGCAGCACACUGCGUUUACGAGACGAUUUAUGAUGCGUUUACUGUUUUGAUUUCCGCGAUGUUUUUCCGCGUUAUGGCGUUUGAGAUAUUUUUGGCAUACUAGGAUUUUUAUUAAAUCCAUCACUUAUUAUGCUAGUAGUUUUCAUUUAUAUAAACUUUGGGGGUUAGUAUGUUGAUAAUUGUUUUAUUAUUAUUGUAUAUAUAAACUUGGUCCACUCACCUUUGUUUUGCGCCCCCAUUCAGGACUUAGAAUCAAGGCACCUAAUCCCGGCGUGAAGACACUUUCGCAGCAGCAUCUUCGGAUCCUCUCGAUGUAGGACUCACUCCUUUACUCAUUAAAUUUUAUCUUAAUUCUUUUUAGUGAUUAGAUUUAGUUGUAUGCUCUGAGCACGUUCCUAAAACUUUUAACUCUUAGUUUUUAAAUUCAUAACACUUACUUAUUUCUUAUUCUUAGCUUUUGUAUCAAUUAAUGGCUUUCGUCACCCUCGGGUGUCGGCCAGCAUGUGUCUUCCUGGUAUUCGGGGAAUAUCAGGGUCGGGGCGUGUCACAAUAUUUACGGAUUAAUUACAAAAUUUUGCUAAUACCUAUUGCAGAUUUCGAACUGUAGAAUUUUUUUUAUAAAUUUUUUCUUUAAUUUCAACUAAAUCUGAAUGAGUACUUACCCCAUUGUAAAUUUCCAUCGAAGACUUUCCAACUAUAUCGAUAUUUUAAACACUGGUUUAGACCAACAUGUUUAAUAUCCAGUGCAUGCAAAUAGAAUGUCAAAUCUUUUUGAAAAACUUCAGUAUGACUGCCACUUAAGGGCAACUAGCAUAUUAAAGAGACCAAUGCAAAGUUGGAUGAGACUAAAAUACAUAAAGUCUCAUGUUUUGGUGAGAUGUGGUUUACAAAUGAUAUAGCAUGUGCCCUACGAAAAACGAGAUCGGAUUACCUAAUUGAAGUUUCUCUAGCAUGAAAAAUUCAAGAGGGAUGUGACGGUUCCGGAAAGUAAAAAAUCACACAUUUUUAUUAAUAAUUUUUUUGUUCGAAUUCGGAAAUGUAUAGAACUGAACAAAUGGAAUAGUGGCUCAGUGAUACCAACAAUUUCAUGUUGCAAAUUACAAAAAAAAAAAAAAAAAAAAAAAAAAAAGGAAAUGUUUUACACAAAAUUAAUGACAAUUAGAGUUAAACAACAGAAACUUGCACUUUAAAUGGUUUUUUUCUGCUGCUUUUGGUAUGUAUAUGCUUUUUCCGCACCGCUGGCUACUGUAUUCUCGGUAAUUUUCAUCGUCAUCCCAGCUGCGUUGCGAGCAUGAACGUUUGAUUCCUGUCAUUGGGGUUUCACAUACUCUGUCAUCACAUGAACCUCCAUGAUCCUUCCUUUUAAACAGCUUUCGAAGUGGAUUUGACUUUGGUUUCAAUGGUUUCAGCUGUUUUGGGGCCCAAAUUCUCUGCAGAUCGGGCAUCCAUCUUGUGGAGUAAGCGAACCUCCGAGCCCUCUCUCUCCUCUCUUGAACUUCAAGUAACUUGCGAGCAUGGUCGUCCUUUUGUUUGAUCUCUUCAGCGCUCGGUCUUCCAAUAUCAGUUUUCAGCGGACGAAGAGACUCACCUACUGCUGGUAAUGAAUCCCAGAUUCUAUAACUUCCAUCCACUUCGACACUCUUCGGUUUUUCUUUACAGGAUCGAUUGCUAUCCUAACUGUUGAGUAAACUAUUAGGGAGUUCUUCCUCAUCAGCAAACAGCAACAAAUCCAUUUUCUUAUAGAUUUUGCGAACCACAUCUUCAAGUGUCUCACAGUACCUGAAAAAUUCCAAAUUCAAAGAUUAAUCUAUCUGCUUAAGUUAAUUUUCCAUCUCAAACAAAAAUUGAUUGCCCGCACAUGUACUUCCGGAAAACUAAUUCCAGGAACGGAUUAUUUAAGCAACAUCGUUUCUUCAAGGAUCAUACUGUAGACAUACACUAUUGGCACAUUGCAAAAGUUGUAUAAACAUAUUCCACACUCGUUCAGAAAAACAUGGGUACGAUGUGCGCAUAACUGGCCUAUAUCCUGUCAAUCUACACUGAUAAGGAAAGACACUUUAACUCAUCUAAGAUUAUAAAGACAACCACUUUCCUUAUUUAGCAUUGUUGCAAAGGUAAGUAGGACAUGAUUUGUUAGAUAGGUAGUAAUAUCCCACAUGAAAGUGGAACACAGUGGCACCGGAAAUGUGUAUUUGUUGAGACAUGAACGAUAGACUGAAUGCAGCGUGUGCUAUAUAGCCUUUCAGCGAAAGCCAUAAUGCCUCAGUAAAACAUCCAUUAUAUAAAGUAAAGAAUAAUUUCAAGGGUAGGGGUUUUCAACUGUGGUACAGAUUUAUUACCUGCUUUUUAUGAUCUUUUCAACAUAAUCAUACACUCCAGUCACCAAAGAAGCCCUCCAGAUGACAUCGAAUUUUCUCCAAAAAGGAGCAAAUCUGUUUUACAGACUUCUGUUUUGUAGAUUCAGCAAUACGUGCACCAACCUCUGAUUGUAGUAUCUCCAUCCGGAAAAAUAUCUGCAAUUCAUAUCGUGCACGAGCUGGCGCAAGGAGGCGGCGAAGCACGAAGCCCGGGGCGGCGAUGCCGGGUCGAGGCGAAAUGCGGGGAGGGAAUUGAGGGUUUGGGAGAGGGAAUUGAAAGUGGGGCCGGGGAGGUGGAAAGAGAGGGAGAGAGAAGUGGGGAGCUUGGAGGAGGAGAGCAGCGGAGAGAGGGAGGAGAAGAAGGGUCUGAAGGCGAAGAGAGAGGCGGAGAGAGGAGGGAAAGAGAGGAUGGUUUUGACGGCGGCGAGGAAGGCUGUGAGAAAUGGAGCUGGGUUUUGGAGGUGGAGGAGUGGGUUGAGGCCUAGGAGGAGGACGAUGCGCUGCGUUUUGCCGUAGUCGGCGAUUGGGUCGCCGGAGCUCCGUUCAGAUGCCAUCGCAUUUGCAGGAGGAGAAAGAGACGGACUUGGGUUGCAGAGAAGGGAGAUGCAAAUGUGGAAUUAAGGAACAGUAAACCGAAUACGCAGUCGUUUUAGUAGAAAAACGACGAUACGGUAGAUGCUUGAGCGGGAAACCAAAUUUUGGCUGUAAAGGAAAUGUUUUAGGCCCCGUUUGGGAUUGAGGUGAUUUUAAAAAAAGCCACUGUGAAAAAAAGCUGAGGGUCAUUUUUGUGUUUGGUAAACUGAAAAAAGGGCUUAUUUUGGAAGCUGCUGUGAAAAUAAGCUGAAAAUCAAAGGAAAAGCUGAAGCUGCUAUUUGCUGCUUUGAAAAAAAGCCAGUUUUUUCAAAGCACACAGAGCUACAAUGCUCCUUUAAUGAAAAGACACACUAUCAUCCUGAUUUUUUUUCCAAAAGCACUUUCACAAAAAAGUUUACCAAACACUCUACUGCUUUAUUUCACAGCCGCUUAUUCUCACAGCACAGCCGCUUAUUCUCACAGCAGCUUUUUUUCAAAGCACAGCAAUACCAAACCAGCCCUUAAUCUCAUGAAGGACCUGUUUGGACUGCAUCUAAAUUUGUUAAAAGCGCUUUUAGAGAACAAAAGAGCUUUUGACAUCAGUUGAAAAAAAAAAAAUAUUUAAAGUACUUCUUCACGUGAAAAAAACACAUGGUUUUUAAUGAAAAUUCCAACAUGAUUUGAAUGAAAGUGCUUUCAAAAAGUAUUAUGAAUAGAUAUGCUUUUUUAUAUGCUUCUAUGAAAAGUGCUUUUUGCAAACAAUGUCGGGCUCGUUUGUAAUUACUUUUAAAAUGGUUGAAAGUGUAUUUCGUAAAAAUAUUUUUAGAAACAAUAUUUAGUAAAAUGCAAGUGAAUCCUAAAAAAAACACUUCAAGAAUAGAACAACCAAAGGGGCGAAAACUGUAAACCUCAUAGCAACCGAAUUACAAUUCGAGAACAUACCCGUUACUGAAUCCCAAAUCGCUGGUUCCCAAGUGUAGUCAUGCACAAGCUCGUUUAGAACCAAUAUUUUCUCUAAGAACGAUUUCAAUCAUUUGAAAAACAUUUUUAAACGAACUGAUGUUUUUAGGAGAAACACAAUGAGGAGCAAAUGAUUCCUAGGCGAGAAGAAAAACUAGACAGAAUGUUAAAUAGCACAUUAUGUACCAAUUUUUCUUCAACAAAUUGGAACUACUGAGAAGUUUGGAAACUAAAAAGUAAAGAUUGAUUCUAAGGAUUCUAACCCUGAUGAUUGCUUAUACAGUCGAACUACUUGAAUAGACUGGACUACCGAAGAUAAACUCAUACAUAUACGAAUUAUUAAAAAGUGAAAGAGGCUCAUCUCAGUUUUUUUUUUUUUUUUUAGUUGAAAGAAAAAAAAGGUAAAACAUGGAGAAGAUCAUGAACAGUAAUGGGUUUUAGUAUAUAUAAAUAUAAUUUGUAACUGUAUCUGUCCAAAUAUGCCGUGCAAGUUCUAUUCAUUAGCAGGUACUUUGAUUGCCAUGCAGUAAGAGCAUACAACGGAGAUUGGCUUUGUAUCAAGGCGUACGUCCCAUACACCUCUUUUAUGGGUGAUGCUGUCCACACACUUCUUUUAAUUACCAGUCGUCAUAUAGAAUGAAUUCAAGAGGAUCAAAUGACUAAAAUUAACAGAGAAUAUGUAAAAGAUAAACCAGAGUGUAUGGAUAACACCACCCUAUCUUAUUAGGAUAAUAACAUCCGAUGUGUUUGAUAUAAUCUUUUAGGGACUAACCAAAACAUUGAGUUACAAAAGUCAAACACUUCCGAUGAUGGAAGAACUAUAUCCACUUCUAUCGUCACAAAACUUGGACAAUAACAUCACACCACCAUACUUUGACGACUUCUUUAUCACCGGCAGAAUUUCCGAAUUCAACAAAGCAGCCGGAACAUACCCACUCUUGGCCGCCUUAGGAGCCGCCAGCAACCCCAAAAACAUCUUCCCUGUCUAAUACAAUGAUGUCACUUGGCGUCUUAACAAGAUGGGAGACUUUGGAGGGACUUUAUUGAGUACUCCAGAGUACUCAGUACUCUCAUUUGUUUAAAAAUAUAAAAAUCAAAAUCUAACGAUUAAAACAUCUAGAGUAUCCAUAUAUAGUACUGCUCAAAACUUUUUGAGACAUUGGACGUGAUCCCUCCUAGAAAUUAUUAAGUUAUACAGUAGUACACUUCAGCCGUGAUACUUUCAUUCAAAGGCUAGCUUUAUACUAAUAUGUGAUACUUUCAUUCCAUAUUUGAGAGCCAUUGGAUAAGUAUAAAGCUAACCUUUACAAUAUGAGCUAGUUAGUUAGCCUUCACACACACAGUGCCUGCCUAUCAUGUAACCAUUGACAAUGAUACCCGACAAUUUAUUUGGAGAGAGGGUCCUCACUCAUUUAUUUGGACCUAUAACUUCAUUUCAUAAUAACUCCAUCACAUCAUUUUAUGUACCAUAGUUUAUUCAAUUUCAAAAAUUAGUACACGCAAUAACAUGUUUUAUCGUAAAAUAUACGAGGUUUUUUAGUAUAUUAGAAAUACGAGAUGAUGCACCACAUGUCAUUAUAUAAAUGAAGAGAAAUUUUUUUUUUUUUUAAAUGUGCCUCCACUUAUAUAAUGUAUUGUACCACCCAAAUUCUGAAUAAGUGAAAGAUCUCUCCAAAAAAUACAUAUGCAUGUUUUAUUCAAAAGGUAAGGAAUGAUGCGUCAUCAUCCCUAACACACUUUAUUAUAGUAGUAGCAUCAAUUGAGGCAGAGAAGUUAAUUAGAUGCUGUCCUUAAUGGAUGCACUAUAACCGUUGUCAUAGAACCUGCUCCAAAGCAUAACUCCUCCGUACUUGGGCGAAUUCUUAAUCGUUGGAAGAACUUGUGACUUGAGAGCGUCAGCAGGAAUAAAUCCGCCGCUUGGAGCGGCCUCAGGAGCUGCCGGUAACCCCAUGAACACCUGGGUGGCCGGAACCGAGGCCCAUUGGUUCCAACUGCUUAAAAGAGCGUCGGCAUUACCGUCUGCAUACUGGCAUGGGGGGUUGUUGUAGAACUGAACCCAAACGUAGUCAAAUAAACCGGUUUGGAUAGCGGCGUCCAGGUGAGCAUCCGGGAUCGGACAUUGUGGAGCUGCGGCUAAAUAGACCGUUUUUGCCUGUGCGUUGUGUCCGUUGAGUGACCUGGCGAGCUCAUCAUAGAACUGCGCACCACCCGCCUCAAUGUCGAAAUCAACGCCGUCCAAAACCGCGUCCCCAAGCGGGCGCGAAGCGGACUGACCACCUAAGAAGUUGUUCCAGAUGUAAUCAGCAACUUGCCUUGCAUCAUCAGCUGAAGUGAGAGAGUAACUUCCGGCGCCCCCUCCAAUCGAGAGGAGGACUUUUAUGUUUUUUGAUUGGCAGGUUCUGAUGUCAGCACUCAGCCCCGUGCAAGUACCACUAGGGGGGUCGCAGUGGCCGGCGAGGUUUAGGACAGGGGUUUGGUUGUUUCCGAAAGUAGUGAGGAAAGCUAUGUUAACAAACUGGUAGUUGCCUGAGUUGCAAGCAUCUGCUAGGGUUCCUUCGUUGCCGUUUUGGCCCCAAUAGAUCGCAAUUCCGGCGGCUUGGGAGGACUUGCAUGAAGAAAUGAGGAUCAAGAGGGACAGAGUUAGGGUUAGGGUUUGUGUUUUGGAUGCCAUUUUUGUAUGUGUUUUUUUGGGUUGUUGCUCAAAGUGCUUGGGAGGGGACAUGUACUUAUAGGUGGAGACUUACUGGUUAAGGUUUAGGGGAAGAAAAAUAUGACACACGAGUUCUGCUUGUAAGAAAUGGAUGCCAGUCUUCUGCUUGUCAAUCAAGUUAGCUAGGGCCUGUUUGGUCGAAGUUUCACAUGAAACGUCGAUUAAGUUAGGUCGGGUUGGAAAUGCUUUCUUCAAAAACCACUUACACACGUAAGCUCUUCUUAUAUUUUUCAUAAUAAUGCAAGUGCUUUUGGAAAAAACACGAGAGGUGUUUCGCAUGUGUUUUUUUCAAAAAGCACUUCAAAUAUUUUUUCUACCUAAAAAUCCAUUAAAGCUCCUUUACUUGUUUUAAAGAAACUUCCAAAAUAAUAUUUAAAGAAAAAUUACUUCUAGAGAGAAUUAUAACAUGCUAAUUGAGAGAUCCCGAAACUAGAAACUAGAUGGUUAUAGUGAAGCGUGACCUUAACUGCUUAAUUAGGUGAAAAAAGCCAUCAAAUUUGACAAAAAGUCUGAUGAAAGGUCAUAGCUGUAUGCAUAAUCCGUAGAUGAGAUAAUCAUGAAACAAUACGUGGGGAAUCAACACAGCCUUAUCAUCGUCAAAAAAUUUUAGUGUUCUAGAAACACGAUCUGAUAUACAAAAUGUUUUAACAUCAAUUGAACGUUUUGGAAAUUUGUGGAUAGAAACCAAAUGGAAUAUGCUUGCUAGCUGCUAUAUACAUCUUGGAUUUUAGCUGAGGUGGCCAUUGGCCAAGGACUGCGAUCUAAUCACGAUGCUUUAAUUUCGCAGUACGAAAAAAAUUUCAGAUAAAAUUUAGAACAUGUUUAGGGAGUGCUUUCAAAUCACUGAAAGCGAUUUUAGAAAGAAAAAAAAUGUUUAUACAACUAAUUUUUAAUAAAAAUGCAAGUUAAUUCUCUAAAAGUAUUGAAAUUAGUGCUUCUUUGAUGAAUUACUUUAAGUGCUUUUGGAGCUCAAAAAUAUUUUCUCAAGUGGUUUCAGUUAUUUAAAAACACUUUCUAAACGAGUUAAUGACUCGUGUAUGGCAACAUUUAGCAAGUAAUAGCUCUCAUGAAUUGGAUUGUGGUGAUGUGAAAAUGGGUUUGGGUAAGUUUAGUUUAGAUCAGUCACCAGUGUAUAAAAUAUCCAUGAAAUUGUCGAUAUUUUCAUCAAAAUAUCCUUAAAAUUUAGGGUCCAUAAGGAAAAGAAGGGUAAAAUAUAAAUUUCAACCUAUAUUGGCGAGAUAUAAGAAAACAAUGAAUAUCGACAAUAUUUACCAAUUAACUACAAAAUGUUGCUAAAACCUAUUGCAGAUUUUGAACUUUAGAAUUUUUUUUUUAUAAAUUUUUUCUUUAAUUUCGACUAAAUCUGAAUGAGUUGAUACUUGAUAUGCUUAUCCCAUUGUAAAUUUCCAUCAAAGACUUUCCAACUAAAUCGAUAUUUUAAACAUUGGUUUAGACCCACAUGUUUAAUAUCCAGUGCAUGCAAAUAGAAUGUCAAAUCUUUCAGAAAAACUUCAGUAGGACUGCCACUUAAGGGCAACUAGCAUAUUAAAGAGACCAAUGCAAGGUUGGAUGAGACUAAAAUACAUAAGAGCAAUUCCACCGGGGACCAAAUGUCCCAGCCUCCAGUCCAAAAACCAAGCCAGGCCUCUGUCAAUCAAGUCCACCCCAACAAACUGACUGGUACCCAGCCCGAGUUGGGCAAGAGCCCAGCCCAAAAGAGACUGAGACAGAAGCCGGGGAAGAAGCCUGGCGCGUGCACUUCACGUAGCCGUUUGGCGAGUGCCCGACAAGCUUUCAGACGCCGGGGCCCGCGUGCAGGCGCUGUCAGUCCCCCCCCCGAGUUGCGACGUGGCUACCUCUCUGCCGUUGGAUUUCCAACGGCUAGUUUUCUAGACCGUUGGAUUUCCAACGGUAAAAAAAUUUUAAAUUUUACUUUUAAACUAGACCGUCGGAUCAAAGAUCAACGGUCCACGUUUUUUUCACAAAAAGUAAAUUAAAAAAAAAAAAAAAGGGCCCAACGGUCAGAAAUAUGACCGUUGGCCACGUGGCAACUCCCUAGCUCUUGGAUUUGAAUAUUUUUCAAAUCCAACGGUCCAGAUUAAUUAACUAUAUUAAAAUUCAUUAAAAAUUAUUAAAAAAUACAGAAAAAUUAUUAAAAAAUACAGAAAAUUUUAAAAAAAUUACAGAAAAUUUUGAAAAAUGUUAAUUUUUUUUCCUAUAAAUACCUAACCCUCAUCUUCUACCUUUACACCACAUUCCAAUAUUUUCUACACUUUCUAUACUAUCUACAUUUCAAAAUAUUUUCUACACUUUAAGAGAAAAAAAAUGUCUUCGUGGAAGCUCAUUGAAGAUGUUACGUUGUGUGAAUGUUGGGUUCACACUACUCAUGAUCCGAUUACGGGUAAUGAGAUGGAUAAGCGAGAGAUGUGGAGUAAAAUUACGAAAGCGUUUUGUGAUGUACAUGGAGAAAACGCCAGAACUAGUCAAGGUCUUCAAGGUCGUUGGAAAAAACUCAAUGCAUCAUUUACUUGUUGGAAAAACGCCAUCUCUCAUGCUUCCGGUAACCUCCGUAGUGGGACAAGUUUAGCGGAUCAGGUGACAAUAUUUUUUAUUUAUUUAUAUGCAUUCCACUCACAUUAAUAUUUUGAUUUAUUUAAUUUCGUAUGUAAUUUUUAUCUUAUUUCUUAUGUAAUUUUUAUUUAAUUUCUUAUGUAAUUUUUAUUUAAUUUCUUAUGUCAUUUUUAUGUAAUUUAUAUGCAUUCCACCCGUAUUAAUAUUUUGAAUUUAUUUAUUUGUGUUACACCCGCAUUUUUUAACACUAUGUUAUCCCACUUUUUUAUAGACACUACAAGCUCAAGCAUUCUACAAUUCAAAGAACGGGAACAAAUCAUUCAAUAGAUUGGAAUGUUGGCAAAUUGUCAAAGAUUGCCCUAAAUACAAAAUUGUGGCAACUGGUCCAGAAGUUGUCAUGCACGGUAUGGGUCUACAUAGUUCUCCAGAACCAGACAUGGCCGAACAAGAAGCCGACACAUUUCAAGACACGGAAGGGACGGCUGAACAAGUGCCCGAGACCCAACCGACUCGUCAGUCCCUAAGGCCUCUAGGUAAAAAGGCGUCAAAGAAAAAAGGUAGUUCUUCCAAAAAAUGACUACACUAAAUAUAUGGAGGAACUUGCUCGCCAAGGUGAACUAAACUUGGCACGAGAAAAGGCUAGAGAUGAGGAAAAAGUUGCUGCUAUGGCAGCAAUAUUAGCAGCUACUGAGGCCCGUGAUGCGGCGGCUGAAAGACAAAGAGAAGUAGUUAAUCGAGAGAACGAGCUGGUUAGAGAAGCACUUCAUCGAGAAAAUGAAUUGCUUCGAGAAGAAAGGAUGGCUCAAGCAUCGUGAUCGUGACACUAUGAGCAAGUCUCUAGUAGGACUGUCUCCGAAUUCUAAAUAUUUUUUAGACAUCGGAAAAAGAGAUGCCAUGCGUAGGAGGCGUGCAAGAGAUGCGGAAACAAGUCAAGGGGGUUCUAGCUACACAAAUCAUGGCAACCAAGAUCCUAGCACCACAUAUCCUAACUCGAGAGACUUUAUUUAAUUUCUUAUGUAUUUUUAUGUAUUUUCUUUCUUUUUUCUAGUAGAACUUUAUUUAAUUUCUUAUGUUUUUUCUUUUUUUUAGGUUUGAACUUUAUUUAUUUUCUUAUGCAAUUUUAAUGUAAUUAUUUAUUUAAUUUCUUUUGUACUUUAUUUAAAACACAUGAAAUAAGAUUACACAUAAACUCACCAAAUAAAUUUAAAAACAAAACACAUUACAUAGAAUUACAUAAACUCACCAAAUAAACUUAAAAACAAAACACACUACAUAGAAUUACAUAAACUCACCAAAUAAACUUAAAAACAAAACACACUACAUAGAAUUACUUAAACUUAAAAAAAAAUACAAUUUAUUCUUCAACCACAAGCCUCAUUCUAAUUAUCUUCGCCUCCAUGCAAUCCCCACUGGUGCUCAAUCAAGUCAUUCUGGCGGGUUACGUGCCAGUAUGGCUCUUGCACAUUAGUGUACCGCUGAACGAUCAAUUCAUUGUAACGUCCAUCACGUUCCAACGGCUCGUGUUGCACUGGAUCUUCGGUCCCAUCAUGAGCACAAUAAAUACGUGUUCUUGAGUUGUUCAUCGGAUCUGGCUCAUAUUCAUCGACGGCAUCAUAAUCAUACUCAUCUUCAACAAUCAUGUUAUGGAGAAUAAUACACGUCAUCAUGAUGGAUCGAAGAGCCUCGACAUCAAACAUUCUAGCUGCAGCCCUGACAAUCGCCCAACGAGCUUGCAGGAUACCAAAACAACGCUCGACAUCCUUCCUACACCCUUCUUGACAUUUUGCAAAGUGUUUUUCCUUUUCAGUCUGUGGAUGUGGCACUGUUUUGACAAAUGUUGACCACCUUGGGUAAAUGCCAUCUGCAAGGUAGUAUGAUCCCUCGUAUUGGGUACCAUUAACCCAAUAUGUGCAUCUCGGCGAGUUUCCUUGCAGCAGUUCGUCGAACACUGGGGAUUGGGCAAGGACAUUUAGGUCAUUUUGAGCUCCUGGAACACCAAAAAAAGCAUGCCAAAUCCAUGUAUCAAAUGAAGCCACCGCUUCCAAAAUGAUGCUUUUGGCUCCUUUUCUGUCGCCAUAUGCUCCUUGCCACGCACUUGGACAGUUUUUUCCAAGUCCAGUGCAUGCAGUCGAUGCUUCCAAUCAUGCCAGGGAAGCCUCGCAUCUCACCCUUCCUCAGAAGCCUUCGCAUGUCCCUUGACGUGGGUGUCCGGAGGUACUCUUUGGUGUAGAGGGCUUCAAUUGCAGAGCAAAACCGCAUCAGGGACUCCAGAACAGUUGUUUUUCCCAUCCUCGCGAUCUCAUCCACUUGAUCUGCAGAUGCUCCAUAUGCAAGCAUUCGCAAGGAUGCCGUAAUUUUUUGCUCGGGAAUAAGACCUAGAACAUGAAAAGCAUCCUCUUUUUGCACAAAGUAUGAAUCAUUGUUGCAAAUAUCACUCAUGAUUUUGUUGAACAAAUGUCGUUGCAUUCUAAAACGCCGUCUAAACAUGAUCAGGGAAUAUGCUAUUGGGAAUAAAAUAGUCUUCCAAUAGAUUUUUACCUCGUUUUUCCCUUUUUCUAUCGAGGUUUGCAACACGUCUUGGUUUGGCUAUCUGACCCACGGCUUCCAUGACACGGCGGGAAUGUGAGGCCUUCUGCCUUCUAUGGUGAUCAUCCUCAUCCUCCUCCAUGAAGAAAGCCUCAUCUCCACCUCCACCUUCCUCGAGAUUGGCCAAUUCUGCCUGUUGUGCCAACAACCUUUGUUGUUGCUCUUGCAACUGCUUAUACACCCUUCUUGAAGAAGACAUUGUAAUAAGAACUCAAGAUUUGAAAAUGAUGAACAAGGAUUCUGAGCUAAAAAGAAGGAUUGAGCUUGGUGUGAGGAUGGAUGUAGGGAUGUAGGGUUUAUAUGGACAAAAAAAGAAAGGAUGAGGUUCUGGACAAUGCCACGUGGCACUACGUGAUUGGUUGAAAAUCUUAUCGAAAUCUUGGCUAAAUUAUUGUAAACCGGAAGUGACACGUGGCGUGUCAGGAUUGGUCGAGAAUAUUAUCGAAAAUCUAUCCACAAAAUAGUACGUUCGGAUAAUGACACGUGGCAUGACGUGAUUGGUUGAAAAUCUUAUCGAAAUCUUGGCUAAAUUAUUGUACCAUGGAAGUGACACGUGGCGUGUCGGGAUUGGUUGAAAAUAAUAUCGGAAAUCUAUUCACAAAAUAGUACGUUCAGAUAAUGACACGUGGCGUGACGAGAUUGGUUAAAAAUCCUAUCCGAAAUUAAAACUAUUUUAUUUUUUUAUUCUUUAUUUUAAAUGGGUUAAAAAUCUUAUCCGAAAUAAACUUAAAAAAAAAACACACCAAAUAAAUGCGCUGGGUGCUAGCGCAUUUUUUUAGGGGUGGAGAUGCCUUGGCCUAUUACUGUUCACUCCAGUCUAUUACUGUUCAUUUGAGUGGAUAAAUGCGCUGGGUGCUGGCGCAAAGUCCACAGGGGUGGAAUUGCUCUAAAGUCUCGUGUUUUGAUGAGAUGUGGUCUACAAAUGAUAUAGCAUGUGCCCUACGAAAAAUGAGAUCGGAUUACCUAUUUGAAGCUUCUCUAGUAUGAAAAAUUCAAGAGGGAUGUGACGGGUCCGGAAAAUAAAAAAUCACACAUUUUUAUUAAUAAUUUUUUUGUUCGAAUUCGGAAAUGUAUAGAACUGAACAAAUGGAAUAGUAGCUCAGUGAUACCAACAAUUUCAUGUUGCAAAUCACAAAACAAAAAAAAAGGAACUGUUUUACACAAAAUUAAUGACAAUUAGAGUUGAACAACAGAAGCUUGCACUUUAAACGGUUUUUUUCUGCUGCUUUUGGUAUGUAUAUGCUUUUUCCAUGUCUCGAUGUAGUGCCAGUUCACAGGUCAUCAUCCUGGAACAAUGCUUUCGAAACAGAGCCGCACGGCUGGCUACUGUAUUCUCGGUAAUCUUCAUCGUCAUCCCAGCUGCGUUGCGAGCAUGAACGUUUGAUUCCUGUCAUUGGGGUUUCACAUACUCUGUCAUCACAUGAACCUCUAUGAUCCUUCCUUUUAAACAGCUUUCGAAGCGGAUUUAACUUUGGUUUCAAUGGUUUCAGCUGUUUUGGGGCCCAAACUCUCUGCAGAUCGGGCAUCCAUCUUGUGGAUGAAGCGAAUCUCCAAGCCCUCUCUCUCCUCUCUUGAGCUUCAAGUAACUUGCGAGCAUGGUCGUCGUUUUGUUUGAUCUCUUCAGCGCUCGGUCUUCCAAUAUCAGUUUUCAGCGGACGAAGAGACUCACCUUCUGCUGAUAAUGAGUCCCAGAUUCUAUAACUUUCAUCCACUUCGACACUCUUUGGUUUUUCUUUACAGGAUUGAUUGCUAUCCUCACUGUUGAGUAAACUAAUAGGGAGUUCUUCCUCAUCGGCAAACAGUAGCAAAUCCAUUUUUGUAUAGAUUUUGUGAACCACAUCUUCAAGUGUCUCACAGUACCUGAAAAUGUCCAAAUUCAAAGAUUAAUCUACCUGCUUAAUUCUCCAUCUCAAACAAAAAUUGAUCACCUGCAUUUGUACAUCAGGAAACUAAAUGCAGGAAUGAAUUAUUUAAGCUCCAUCAUUUCAAGGAUCAUACCGUAGGCUAAUAUGCUAUUGCAGAAGUUGUAUAAACAUAUUCCUCACUCGUUCAGAAAAACAUGCCUACGAUGUGCGGAUAACUGGCUUAUACCCUGUAAAUCUACACUAAUAAGGAAACACACUUAACUCAUCUAAGAUUAUAAAGAUAAUCACUUUCCUUUUUUAGCAUUAUUGCAAAGGUAAGUAGGAGAGCAUUGGAUGGGCAGUAAUAUCCCACAGGAAAGUGGAAACAGUGGCACCGGAAAUGUGUAUUUGAUGAGACAUGAACGGUAGACUGAAUGAGUGUCGAGAAAGCCAUAACGACUCGGUAAAACAUCCAUUAUAUAAAGUAAAGAAUAAUGCGAAAGGCAGGGGUUUUCAACUCUGGUACAGAUUUAUUACCUGCUUUUUAUGAUCCUUUCAACAUAAUCAUCUACACUCCAGUCACCAAAGAAGCCCUCCAGAUGACAUCGAAUUUUCUCCAAAAACGAGCAAAUCUGUUUUACAAACUUCUGUUUCAUAGAUUCUGCAAUACUUGCACCAACCUCUGAUUGUAGUAUCUCCAUACGGAAAAAUAUCUGCAAUUCAUAUCUAGUACUAGGUGAAGGAAAAGUGUAAAUGUAAUUGGAGACAAAUUUUCAUAUUGGUAGAGUUAUAACUGGAUUAAUGCAUAAUACAGAAGACAGUUCAGUUAUAAAUGAGAAAGGAUACUCUCGAACUAUUUUUCCAGAAGUCAGUCCUUCAGAUUCUGAAUCGGAUGCUUUAACAAACGGGCCGGAGCUUUUCUGCCUUGCAGUGAUAUCCUUGGGAUCUCUCAGUAGAAGUUUUAACACCUCAGCAGAAACCAAAUCAUCAGUAGCACCAGAUUUUACAAGGGAAGUUUGACUCUCUGAAAGGGCUUCUGUUUCCUGCUUUUUAUUUAACCAAUAUAUGGAUGAAUUCACAAGCCGAUAUGCCAAUGCCCCCAAGUCUACUGCUUCAUAUUCAAGCCCCUGUUGUAUCUUGUUGGAUAGACUACUGAAAAAAUCUUCCGACGUUUCUGAUCUAAAUUCCAAAGCAGCUUCAUCUUGUAUGCCAGAAGCCACAGUCAAAGAAUUUUCUCCAAUGGAAGGAGAUGAAGAAAUUGGCUGUUCACUUUCAUGGUGCAAGUUAUCCAACCUAUUGUCCAUCCCUUUUCUAUUGAGCUGGUCUGCCUGGGAUUCUUUCUCCACUAUUAGACCACGAUCGCUAGACUUCUUAAUUUGUUUCAUCCAGCAUUUCAGAAAUCGUAUCUUUUUUGAGUUAUAACAUUCCCUGGCAAAGUAAACCUCUUCCAAACCUAUCUCUGAGUGUUCAAAUGCUGCCUUGUAGAAGGCACUCCAUGUGAGAUCUUGUAGCAACUGUGAAUUUCUUUUGUUAUUUCUCUUCCUUCCCUCCUUGCCUGCAGAAUGCUUAUUGGAUGGCCCAGUUUGGUCCAAAUCAGCAUUCGGUUCGCAAAUCCCAUUCUUCAUAUUUCGACUUGAUUGGUCUGCUUUUGCUCCACCAAUAUCAUGCACUUUUGUCUGAGGGUGAAAUCCUUCAUCCACAAUAAACAGCCGAGCCGAAGAAACUGUGAAAGGUUUGAGAAUUCCGGUAGACGAUACACCACUGUCACUUGAAAGAGACACUAAUGCUCCAUGACCAUUCCUAUAUAAGAAACUCAAGAGAAUCUGCCAAAUGGGUGCUGACUUUCUCUUUGCAUUCUCACCCAAGUCCACUGCUACCACUUCUAGAACCUUAUCUGCAUAAUAAUUGCCAGAACUUUCUUUUCCAUCUUCACCAGGUUUUCCCAAAACAUCACAGACAAGGACUGGAUCAGAUAAGUGCCCCUUGAAUUUCAGAAACUCAUUGUACUUUUGCAAAGCCUUAACCUGGAACUUUGUCACGCCUUUGACAAAAUACCCCCAGAACAAUUCCUUCAGUUUACCACCCUUUGUUUGUGAAUUCAUGAUUUCUAGGGAAAAGAAAGCAUCAUCAGCUGCAUUUCUAGGCAACUUCUUCAAAUCAACCAAUUGAAGAUCACAAACCUUGCAUUCCAAAGGCUUCCCACUUACAUCUAAGAUCUCGAGACUCAACUGCGCAUUGACUUUCUUAUGACUAUCAUCACAACCGAAAAACUUGGAUGAAAUCCCUAUCUCGGGAUAAAUCAAACCAAAGGAAACAAGAGCAGAGCCAAGAAUAAUCCAACCAGUCGAGCAAAAUCCCCAUCCCAAACUCCUAACCCCACUCUCGAAAAACCCAAAUCUCGUCUUAUCCUCAUCGUUCCCAACCUUACCCUCACCACAUUCUAAUUCAUACCUGACAUCAACCCAGCUACACUGAAUAUCUCUACUCACAAAUGCUUCAUUCACAUUCUCAAAGAAACCCCUAAAUCUCUCGGAAAACGCUUUCACAUUUUCCAAAGACUCGUCACCCACACCCACUGUUAGGUCACAACUUCUAAAUUCCCUUUCUCGACCUGCUAGUAGCUGAUAGUAAUGGCGGUGAGUGAGUGGGAAGGAAGAUAGAGAGAGAUAGAAAGUUUCUUGUAAUAUUGUUUUUCUAAUUCAAUCCUGCAGAACAAUGCCACAAUUUGGUUCUUAUACAACCAUCCUUCUCACAAUGCCAGCUGGCUACUAACAAUAACGACAUGUAGCUAAAUAGUUUUCCACUAUUAUUCUAACCACUAUUAUAAUCAUAACACUACCCCUCCCUUACAAAAUAAACCUUGUCCUCAAGGUUAGAAUUAAAGACUGAAAUCAGGAAAUCUGGCAGCAAACUCGUCAUAAUCCUCCCAUGUAGUUUCGUCCUCUUUGUUGUUCUUCCACUGGAUUAACAACUGAACUCCAGCAGCUUGGCCCUUCUUGUAGACCCUCAUUUGUAGCACCUUGAGUGGUUCGAGUGGUAGCAACCCAUCAUCAGUGACAGUAGGCAAGAAUGGAGUUAUGUGACCUUGUCUCCCAAGUGCUUCUUCAAGCAACUAACAUGAAAGACUGGAUGAAUUUUUGAAUUCUCAGGCAGUUUCAAUCGGUAGGCAACCUUCCCAAUAUUUUCCAAAACCUCAUAAGGACCAUAGUACCGGGGAUGAAGCUUAUGGUAAGCAUGAGAUGACAAAGAUUGCAAUUGAUAGGGAAUUAAUUUCAAAUACACCAAAUCUCCUUCCUCGAAAACCCUCUCACUCCGAUGCUUAUCUGCUUGUGUUUUCAUCCGGUUCUGAGCUACUAGUAAAUUGGUCCUGAGCAUUGCUAAUAUUUUGUCCCUAGUUAGCAGCCCUUGCUCCACUAUAUCCAACUUAGCAGUGCCAAGCUCAUAAGACGCGAUGUGUGGUGGUGGAUAACCAUAGACCACUUCGAAGGGGGUGAACUUUGAGGAAGUGUGGUAGGAAGUGUUAUAGCUCCAUUCUGCCCAUGGAAGCCAGUGGAGCCACUUCUUAGGUUGACAGCUAGUGAAGCAUCGCAAGUAAGUUUCAAGGCACCGAUUCACCACCUCUGUCUGGCCAUCACUCUGUGGAUGGUAACCCGAGCUCAUACACAACUUGGAGCCUUGCAACUUAAAAAAAUUCUUUCCAAAAAACACUCAUGAAAAUGGUGUCCCUGUCACUCACAAUGGUAGAGGGCAUCCCAUGGAGUUUAAACACAUUAUCAACAUAUUCCUGAGCUACCAUGCUUGCCGUAUACGGAUGUGCUAAGGGGAUGAAAUGAGCAUACUUGGACAGCCUGUCUACGAUUACCAGGAUCACUGAUUUGCCUUUGCACAGAGGUAAACCAGUGAUGAAAUCCAUGCUUAUAUCCUUCCAUACAUGUGUAGGGAUCGGCAGAGGUUGAAGUAAUCCGGGAGGGGAAAUGGUUUCAUACUUAUUUUGCUGGCAUUCCCGACAUUCAGCCACCCAUGACCUGAGAUCUUUCUUCAUUCCUACCCAAUAGAAGCCCCUCUUCAAUAUCUGAUAAGUCUUUAGAACCCCUUUCAUGGCCUGCACUUGGAGAAGAGUGAUGUUCCUCAAAGACCUUCCUUUUCCAACUUGAAUCUGGGCUAAGCACGAUCCGUCCUUUGUAUUUGAGGAAACCGUUGUCUAAAUGGUACUUGGACAGAUUGGGGUCAAUUGCAGCAGCUUAAGAAUAUGCUAACACCUUCUGCACCUUGCUUUGAAUCCAACUAUCUUGUUCUAACCCUCUCCGAAGUUCAUCUAGCCACCCGAAGUAGGGGUAUGUGAUAGCUUUGCACUCCAAUAAGUCACUGAGAGGUUUCUCUUGUAAUUGAGACGAACCAACUACUCGAGAUAAGGCAUCAGCCAUUAUGUUGUCAUUGCCUUGCCUAUAUUGUAUCUCAUAAUCAAAUCCCAACAACUUGGCCACCCAUUUCUGUUGGAACGGGGUAGUAGUUCUUUGACUCAGAAAGUAUUUCAAGCUGCUAUGAUCUGUCUUUAUGAUGAAAUGGCGCCCUUGAAGGUAGUUUUGCCAUUUUUUGAUAGCACUAACAAUGGCAAUCAACUCUCUUUCGUAUGUAGACAAUGCUUAAUUCCGUGGUCCCAAUGCUUGACUUGUGAAAGCUAUAGGUCUGCCAUUCUGUUGCAACACAGCCCCUAUUCCAUUGCCAGAUGCAUCACAUUCCAAAGUGAAGGGAAUAGCAAAAUUGGGUAAGGCUAAUAGCUGCGGAGAAGUCAUUGUUCUUUUUAAUGCUUGGAAAGCUGCCGUGGCUUCAGGGGACCAAUUGAAACCAUCAUUUUUUGUUAGUUGAUACAAGGGUUGACACACCUUGCCAUAACCGGGGAUGAAUUUUCUAUAAUACCCUGAGAGCCCGAGAAAUCCCCUCAACUCUUUGACAUUUUUCGGUAUCGGCCAAUCUAUAAUUGCUUGAAUUUUAGUAGGAUCUGCAGCCACCCCAUCACGAGAGACGAUGUGCCCCAAGUAUUCCACCUGUGAUUGGCCAAAAGAGCAUUUCGAUUUCUUCACUGCUAAUUGGUGUUUCUGUAAUAACUCCAAAGUUUGGUGCAAGUGUGAAAGAUGGUCCUCCCAGGUCUUGCUGUACACCAAAAUGUCGUCAAAGAACACCAAGAUGAAUUUCCGGAGGUAAGGCUUAAAAAUGUCAUUCAUAAGGGCUUGGAAAGUGGCAGGAGCAUUUGUAAGACCAAAGGGCAUGACUAAGAAUUCAUAAUGCCCUUGGUGAGUUCGGAAGGCAGUCUUUUCCACAUCGGAGGGACAUACGGAUCUGAUGAUAUCCAGACCUAAGAUCAAGCUUAGAAAAAUACUGAGCGCCAUGCAAUUCAUCUAACAAAUCAUCCACUAAUGGAAUAGGAUAUUUAUCCUUAAUGGUAAUGCUGUUCAAUUCACGAUAGUCCAUGCAAAGCCUCCAAGUGCCCUCCUUCUUCUUGACCAAGAGAACUGGAAAUGAAAAGGGACUAUGACUUGGCUGGAUGAAUCCAGCAUCUAAAAGUUCUUGCACAGCUCGUUCAAUCUCAGUUUUUUGCAUAGGACCAUAAUGGUAUGGUCUAAUACUCGGAGGCUUGGAACCAGGAAGCAAUGGAAUCUGGUGAUCAUGAGCCCGUGGAGGUGGUAAGGUAGUAGGAGGCUUAAAAACCGUUUCAAAUUGCCUGAGCAUACCCUGCAGCUCAAUGAGUUGCUGGGGAUUCAAGUUGGAUGCCUCCAACGGAUUAGUUUCCAUUGAAUACAAUAAGACGCCCCAAUUAGAGUAUUUAAACUCUUUUUCAAGCUGUUGACAAACAGUAUCCUGUACCAAGUACGCUGGAGCAGUGGAAUGAACAAGUUUAUAGUGGUCUUUUCCCACAGAAAAUUCCAUGGUUAAGUUGUGAAAAUCCCACAAAACUGGACUCACAGAUGAGAGCCAUUUCACACCCAAUACAACAUCGCAACCCCCUAGAGGAAGUGCGUAGAGGUUAGUGUGGCAGCGAUAUGCACCCAAUUCCAAGGGAAUUUGUUGGCAACAGCCUUGACUUCGGACUUUACCCCCAUCGGCAAUCAUGACAUCGAAGGGUUUGGUGGUGUGACAAGGCCACCCGAGCUGCUUAAGCAACCUAGAAUCCACAAAAUUGUGGGUGCUACCAGAGUCAAGUAGUAUGGUAACAGGUAGAGUGUGAAGCACACCAGCCACUUUCAUGGUUUGUACCGUGGAGGGCUCAGUAGUGCCAUAGAACGCACAAGCACUCAACUCCAUGCUUGAUAGGGAAAGAUCAAUAGGCUCCAGUAAUUCACACUCUGUAGGUUCCAGCAAUUCACACUCGGUAGGCUCCAACUCAUUACAAACAUCAAGCAUAAGGAGCUGUUUAUUAUGGACACAUUUGUGCCCUCGAACCCACUUUUCAUUACAGAACCAACACUCGCCCUUGUCCUUCUUCCGUUGAACUUCCUCGGGGGUAAGUUUCUUAUAAGGGAGGGUUUGAGGAUGAGGCCUGGUAAGGGAAGGUAGAGGUAAGGCGAGAGGAGGUUUGAGUGGGGGAUGAGGUUUUGGGGGAGAUGGUUUCAAGUCCGUGAGUUUAGCAUUUAAUUGGGCAGCAAAGGAAAUGGCCUCAUGAACUGAGGAAGGGCGAAGCAAUUUAACAUCGUAACGCAAUUCCUUCUUGAGACCCCCCAGAAAGCAACUCUUUAAGAGAAUAGGACCAACAUCAUAGGUUCGAGUGGCAAGGCGCCGAAAUUCCACAAUAUAAUCACGAAGAGGGCCGGUUUGGCGGAGUUUGAAUAGCGACUCAGUGCAGUCCUCAAACUCCGGUGGACCAAAUUCCUGGCACAAAGCAGUCGUGAAUUCACCCCAGGUGGGAGUGGAAUGUACACAAUCGCGCCAACGAAACCAGUACAGCGGCUCAUUCUUGAAGUGGAAGGAGGCGGUCAAAACCUUCUGAUUCUCCGGAGUGUGAUAAUAAGCAAAAUAUUGUUCGGCCUUAUAGAUCCACGCUGAGGGAUCAUCACCGUCGGAGAAACGGGGAAAAUCCAGACGAUGUGACCGCUGCGGGCGAGGAGUAAAACCGCCGCCUUCAAAAGAAUCACGGCGCUGAAACCGUGGAGUGUCGAGACAACGAAAAUCGCCAUCAUCGGUCACAAUGGGAGGAGGAAUAUGUGGAUCUGGCACUAGAGGUGGUGGUGCAGUCGAAGAGCCAGCACCGCCUUGAGGACCAGGGUCGCGAUGGAGAUGCUCCAGGAGAAGGGCGAAUUUGGUUUCGAGAGCGGUGAAGCGGGUGUCGGAAUUGGCGUUGGAAGUCUGGAUCAGCUGAGGAAUGGCUCCCAUGGCUUCCAGAGUAGCUUCCACGGCGGAGAGGCGCGAUUCAACAGUGGACAUUCGAGAAUUUGUGGUGUGGCGGGGCAUACAAGAGGGAGACUCAGGAUCGAGAGGCUGAUACCAAUUGUUAGGUCAAAACUUCUAAAUUCCCUUUCUCGACCUGCUAGUAGCUGAUAGUAAUGGCGGUGAGUGAGUGGGAAGGAAAAUAGAGAGAGAUAGAAAGUUUCUUGUAAUAUUGUUUUUCUAAUUCAAUCCUGCAGAACAAUGCCACAAUUUGGUUCUUAUACAACCAUCCUUCUCACAAUGCCAGCUGGCUACUAACAAUAACGACAUGUAGCUAAAUAGUUUUCCACUAUUAUUCUAACCACUAUUAUAAUCAUAACACCCACAUUCGGGAAUUCUGUCAAACAGUUUGCAGACACACAGACGGGCGAAAACAGAACUACCAAAUUAGACCUCACAGCAACCGAAUCACUAUUCGAGAACAUACCCAUCAUUGGAUCGCAGAUCACGGGGUCCCAGGCGUAGUCGUGCACGAGCUGGCGCAAGGAGACGGCGAAAUGCGGGGAGGGAAUUGAGGGUGUGGAAGAGGGAAUUGAAAGUGGGGCCGGGGAGGUGGAAAGAGAGGGAGAGAGAAGUGGGGAGCUUGGAGGAGGAGAGCAGCGGAGAGAGGGAGGAGAAGAAGGGUCUGAAGGCGAAGAGAGAGGCGGAGAGAAGAAGGAAGGAGAGGAUGGUUUUGACGGCGGCGAGGAGGGCGGUGAGAAAUGGAGCUGGGUUUUGGAGGUGGAGGAAUGGGUUGAGGUCUAGGAGGAGGACGAUGCGCACAGUGCCUGCCUAUCAUGUAAAACCAUUGACAAUGAUACAAGACAGUUUAUUUGGACCUAUAAAACUAUAUUUAUGUAAAACUAUAUUUUAUUCAAUUUCAAAAAUUAGUACAUGCAAUGACAUGUUUGAUCGUAAAAAAAAAAAAAAUGAGAAAUUUUCAGUGUAUCAGAAAUACGAAUCGGUAAAAAAUCUCUCCAAAAAUACAUAUGCAUGUUUUAUUCAAAAGGAAAGGAAUGAGGCGCCAUCAUCCCUAACACACUUUAUUACAAGUAGUAUCAUCCAUUGAGGCAGAGAAGUUAAUUAGAUGCUGUCCUUAAUGGAUGCACUAUAACCGUUGUCAUAGAACCUGUUCCAAAGCAUAACUCCUCCGUACUUGGCCGAAUUCUUAAUUGUUGGAAGGACUUGUGACUUGAGAGCAUCAGCAGGAAUAAAUCCGCUGCGCGCGGCAUCAGUAGACGCCGGUAUCCCCAAGAACACCUGGGUGGCCGAAACCGAGGCCCAUCGGUUCCAACUGCUCAAAAGAGCGUCGGCAUUACCGUCUGCAUACUGGCAUUGGGCUAGGGGGUUGUUGUAGAACUGAACCCAAACGUAGUCAAAUAAACCGGUUGGAUAGCGCCGUCUAGGUGAGUAUCCGGGAACGGGCAUUGUGGAGCUGCGGCUAAAUAGACCGUUUUUCCCUGUCCGUUGUGUCCUUUGAGUGACCUGGCGAGCUCGUCGUAGAACUGCGUACCACCCAACUCAAUGUCGAAAUCGACGCCGUCCAAAACCGCGUCCCCAAGCGGGCGCGAAUCUGACUGACCACCUAGGAA